GAGAGAAUGAGAGAGGGAGGUCAGACAGAAGUGAGAGAAUGAGAGAGGGAGGUCAGACAGAAGUGAGAGAAUGAGAGAGGGAAGUCAGAGAGAAGUGAGAGAAUGAGAGAGGGAGGUCAGAGAGAGUGAGAGAAUAAGAGAGGGAGGUCAGAGAGAAGUGAGAGAAUUAGAGAGGGAGGUCAGAGAGAAGCGAGAGAAUGAGAGAAGGAGGUCAGACAGAAGAGAGAGAGGGAGGUCAGAGAGAAGUGAGAGAAUAAGAGAGGGAGGUCAGAGAGAAGUGAGAGAAUGAGAGAGGGAGGUCAGACAGAAGUGAGUGACUGAGAGAGGGAGGUCAAACAGAAGUGAGAGAGGGAGGUCAGACAGAAGUGAGAGAGGGAGGUCAGAGAGAAGUGGGAGAAUAAGAGACAGAGGUCAGACAGAAGUGAGAGAAUGAGAGAGGGAGGUCAGAGAGAAGUGAGAGAAUAAGAGAGGGAGGUCAGAGAGAAGUGAGAGAAUAAGAGAGGGAUGUCAGAGAGACGUGAGAGAAUGAGAGAGGGAGGUCAAAGAGAAGUGAGAGAAUAAGAGAGGGAGGUCAGAGAGAAGUGAGAGAAUGAGAGAGGGAGGUCAGAGAG
Long non-coding RNA from Oncorhynchus tshawytscha (Chinook salmon), 611 nucleotides. NCBI's taxonomy places the organism in Eukaryota, Metazoa, Chordata, Actinopteri, Salmoniformes, Salmonidae. The record is from Ensembl.